CCUACGGGGGGCAGCAGUGAGGAAUAUUGGUCAAUGGGCGCGAGCCUGAACCAGCCAAGUAGCGUGAAGGAUGACUGCCCUACGGGUUGUAAACUUCUUUUAUAAAGGAAUAAAGUGAGGCACGUGUGCCUUUUUGUAUGUACUUUAUGAAUAAGGAUCGGCUAACGCCGUGCCAGCAGCCGCGGUAAUACGGAGGAUCCGAGCGUUAUCCGGAUUUAUUGGGUUUAAAGGGAGCGUAGAUGGGUUGUUAAGUCAGUUGUGAAAGUUUGCGGCUCAACCGUAGAAUUGCAGUUGAGACUGGCAGUCUGGAGUGCAGUAGAGGUGGGCGGAAUUCGUGGUGUAGCGGUGAAAUGCUUAGAUAUCAGGAAGAACACCGAUUGCGAAGGCAGCUCACUGGACUGCAACUGACGCUGAGGCGCGAAAGUGUGGGUAGCAAACAGGAUUAGAUACCCGGGUAGUC
RNAcentral lists this ribosomal RNA (460 nucleotides) under uncultured bacterium. Its description in RNAcentral is "partial 16S ribosomal RNA". It matches the Rfam family "Bacterial small subunit ribosomal RNA", at positions 338 to 795 of the family's 1533-position model. The record is from RNAcentral.